This 401-nucleotide ribosomal RNA is filed under the name uncultured bacterium. RNAcentral describes it as "bacterial SSU rRNA". It matches the Rfam family "Bacterial small subunit ribosomal RNA", at positions 355 to 773 of the family's 1533-position model. The record is from RNAcentral.
UUGGGAAUCUUGGACAAUGGGGGAAACCCUGAUCCAGCCAUGCCGCGUGAGUGAUGAAGGCCUUCGGGUUGUAAAGCUCUUUUACCCGGGAAAAUAAUGACUGUACCGGGAGAAUAAGCCCCGGCUAACUUCGUGCCAGCAGCCGCGGUAAUACGAAGGGGGCUAGCGUUGUUCGGAAUUACUGGGCGUAAAGCGCGCGCAGGUGGUUUCUCAAGUCAGUGGUGAAAGCCCGGAGCUCAACUCCGGAACUGCCAUUGAAACUGUGAAACUUGAGGACGAGAGAGGUGAGUGGAAUUCCCAGUGUAGAGGUGAAAUUCGUAGAUAUUGGGAAGAACACCGGUGGCGAAGGCGGCUCACUGGCUCGUAUCUGACACUCAAGCGCGACAGCGUGGGGAUCAAAC